GUGGGGAAUAUUGGGCAAUGGGCGGAAGCCUGACCCAGCGACGCCGCGUGGGGGAAGAAGUCUUUCGGGAUGUAAACCCUUGUUGUACGGGACGAAGGAAGUGACGGUACCAUGGGAGGAAGCCCCGGCUAACUACGUGCCAGCAGCCGCGGUAAGACGUAGGGGGCAAGCGUUGUCCGGAAUUACUGGGCGUAAAGGGUGCGUAGGCGGCAAUGCAAGUCUAAUGUGAAAUCCCCGUGCUUAACAUGGGGAUUGCAAUAGAAACUGUAUAGCUAGAGUGCAGGAGAGGUAAGUGGAAUUCCUAGUGUAGCGGUGAAAUGCAUAGAUAUUAGGAGGAACACCAGUGGCGAAGGCGACUUACUGGACUGUAACUGACGCUGAAGCACGAAAGCGUGGGGAGCGAACAGGAUUAGAAACCCGGGUAGUCC
This 428-nucleotide ribosomal RNA is filed under the name uncultured bacterium. Its description in RNAcentral is "partial 16S ribosomal RNA". It matches the Rfam family "Bacterial small subunit ribosomal RNA", at positions 354 to 796 of the family's 1533-position model. The record is from RNAcentral.